GAGAAGUUCGUUUUGGAACCAGCAGUGGACUCGUGCAUAUAAUUAAAAUUGAGAACGUUGCUCAAAAGAGGAAGCCUGAAGCGCGCGGUUGGUUGGAGAGACCGGACAGAUAAAAUAUGACUUGCAACAGAUCGACGUGAAAGGAGGCAAGGCAUGAUAGAGAAUAAAUACAAAAAAGAACGUCAGCCGCUUGCUCACGUUGCAAAAGUACAGGAAAUGCAGAAGAGGUUUGGGAGAUUGAGACUGGUGAGGAUUCAUUCAGUCAGAAGUUACAUGUUGAAAAGAUGCAGGUGGAGUGCCAAAAGAGACCUAAGUUCCCUUCAAGGCAAAAAUGAAAAGGACUGAAAAAUAUACAUUUUUCUGAAACAAGGCACCAAGGAUUUCUUAAAACAGUAACCCGUACUCUAUUUUUUUAGCCAUUGUAAGUAGCCAAAAAGUCUUGACAGAAAUAAAUGGUCAAAACUAAUGUAACAUAGCCAAGUACUGUCAUCUGAAUCCAAGAUAUGAUGCAUUAUAAACAAAUUGACUUAAGAUUCUCAGAUGAGAAUCAAACCCGGUAUGGAUGUGGACUGAAAGAUUAUGUUUGGAUUCUGCACAAUGGCUGACAGAAUCAUUGCAGAAACUGAAAAGAGGGGUGUGGCUAUGGAGUUGCUGAAUCUCUACAAGAAGACACUUCUCACACGGAGGCUCACAAUGGUUUGAAGUUCACUGCAGCCAUUUUGUGCCUCUUACCUCUUCAAAGAAGAUCCAAGUGGCUGUACGUCAGACAGGAACAAUAGAGGGGAAUCCCUGUUCAGAUGAAAGCCACAUCAAGCUCUUCAAGAUGGAGAAAGGCCAGAGGACAUCUCCAUGGGAUUGGGAGUGGCAAUGGGGGUCAUUUCCUUCAUAUUGAGUAUGCAGCAUCAGUAAAAAGCAUUAAGCUGUUAAUUCAGAAAUGUGUUCUGGGAAUUGAUGAGGGGUUAAAUUACCAACAAUUGUUGUAUGAAUGGCAAACUUUUUGCUGUAGAAGGAUAAGGGAAAUCUGAGAUCUCUGCAAGUGAAUGUGACUUUAGUCAAAAUUAAUUGAUUAAGUUUGCCACUCAAUGUAAUUUGUAUUUUGUUACAAUUCAUAAUAGAUUACAUUAGGUUCCUACAGGAACCUUAACACCCUAAAAAGGUGCUUUGAGGAAACUUUAAAAGGUUCCUCUGUGAAAAGGUUCCUGGAAGCACCAUAAGUGGAUCUGCUGGUAUUGCAAUCUGAGGAACCUUUUUUUUUUAGAAUGUACACUAAGCACAUCAACCUGCCUUCUGAUUUCAUGCCCUAUUUUACAUCAGUGUUGUAGACCAAAUAUUGAAAAGAGCGGUCUGGUUGCCUCAGACAUUUGUAGUUGAACAAGUCAUUACAAUUCUUUUACUUGAAUUGACUUGUGCUUAGAAUAGCCGACUUGCUUGUGACUGUCCCACCUUCGCACGGCUGUAACAAGACUCAGAAUGUAUUGGUCGGAUUUGAGGGUGAGGUAUUCCAGAUCGGGAGAAAAGGACUCGUUCCUGUAUGUUGCGACAAUCACACCAUGAGUUAUAAUGAAACACCCCUCACAUUUUCCUAGAGUUAUUUCUUCCUACCCGUACGAUGGAUGAGAACCCUGGCGGGUGGGUUGGCUAGACAAAUUGAACCACAUUUCUGUACAUAUUGUCGCAGUUCCUUAUGUCCCUCUUAAAAAAGGUCCUCGCACACCUUAUUUUAGAGAAUUUACAUUAGCAAGUAAUAGAAGCAGAACGCCUUAGUCCUUUAAAAUCACGGACACCUGUGCUAAUGUCAUGCAUGGUCACUGACACUAACAAAUAAUGGCCAUUCCCAUGGAUGCGUUACAUAUCUUUUGUACCCGAUAUUCUAUAAUUUAUUGAUGUCUGUUUCUGCUGUGUUGUGAAUUGUUCUAUUGGCUUAUGUCCCUAUCCUUCUGGGAUGUGAUUGCCAUGUCACUGGUCCGGCCAUCAAAUAAAUACAAAUGUUUAUCCAGGCGAGCAGAUUUAAGGUUAAACAAAACUAAGAUCUCACAUAAAAACAAAAAAAAAGCUCCAGUGCAGCUGUUUAUUUCAAUUGAGCAUGUUACUGUGAAUAAUGGUCAAUGAAAAACAAUUGCUUCUUAGCAAAGUGCCAUUUUUCAAACAGAAUUAGUUAAGACUGAGGGGUCUAAUUGGAGGUAUAUGUCACCGGAAAACCAGCUGUUAUUGGCAGAAGUCAUUGGUCUAGUGAUGUCAACUGGCUGUCCAAAAACCCCACCCAGCCAGACAAGCUGAAAUUUCAGUGGAUCUUUAAGCAGCUUACACUAAAGUGCAUUCAGAAUUUUAGUAUGAAAAUCAGGAAUACCCUGCCCCUUUAAAUUUAGCUUAACUGUUUACUCAUGGGAUUUGGCAAAAUUGAAAUGUUCCUUAAACAGUUCACCUGCCAGGCCAAACAUUACAUUCUCUACUUUGUAUUUGUUACUGAAUGUAUCGUAUUAAAAAAGUGGGUUAGGUACAAGAAACAAAAAUUACACGUGUGUGAGAGACUAUAGUCAGUGGCACCACAACGCCAAAGUGUGCCGCGUUAAUGUCAAUGCUCUUUGACAACUAUAACCACAUUACUCUAACUGGAUGGAAUAGUCCAUUUAACAGGAAGUGUCUUUAUAAAAGCCAACUGAACGUCGUUUUGACAUGGUGGGAUCUUUGUAAAUGGCAGUGGAAACACGUGAGAAGGUUGUUUCAUGAACUGAAAUAAAACUUCCCAGAAAUGGCCAUAUGCACAAAAAGCAUCUCAAAUUGUGCAUACAUGUUAGUGAGAAUUUUGUCCUUUGCCAAGAUAAUCAGCAAUCUGACAUGUGGCAUAGCAAAGAAGCUGAAUAAACCAGUGCACCUUGUCAAAACAAUGUCACAGGUGUCUCAAGUUUAGGGAGUGCGCAAUAGGCAUGCUGAUUACUGGAAUGUUCACCAUGCCACCUCCAGUUUGAGAAUUUGGCAGUAUAUCCAAAUCGGCCUCAACUGCAAACCUAUGUCAUGUGGGUGAGUGGAAUGCUGAUGUCAAAGUUAAUUGCCCCAUGGGGUUGUUACGGGCAGGUAAAAGCUAUUGACAAAAAUGGCAUUUUGUCAAUAGCAAUUUGAAUGCACAGAAAUACCAUGAGCCUGAGACCCAUUUGAAAUCUUAUUCCUAGUCAUGUGAAUUCUAGAUUAUGGCCUAAUGAAAAACCUUAAAAUCCUUAGUGUCAUCUUUCAAGUCCUUAAUUUACAGCAUUACCCUUAGGCAGAUUUUUUUUUUUGCCCCAUCCCUCCUGCUAAUUGGGCAACUUGUCAAGUUCAGAACAGCUGUCAGUCAAAAUCAAUACAGCGCAGAGCCCUGAAGUCAUAGCACACUGCGUUCCAAUUUAGGGACUGGUCAGUGCCUGAAUCUGCCAUUUUCAACCUGUAUAUGGUAGGAGUACAAAGGGCUACAUAUCAAAUGUAGCAACCCGUGGUGUAAAGUACUAAGGACAAACUUACAAUUUUACCCAUUACAUUCCUAAAGACAGUCAUUUUUACAUCAUACAUUUUCCCUGACACCCAAAAGUACUCGUUACAUUGACAAGACGAUGGGCCUAGACAGCUGUCAUCCCUACUGUCUCCGAUUUGGCGGACUCACUAAACACAAAUGCUUAAUUUGUAAAUUCUGAGUGUUGGUGCCCCUUGCUGUGAACAAAA
Molecule: long non-coding RNA, 3690 nt
Organism: Salvelinus fontinalis (brook trout)
Lineage: Eukaryota; Metazoa; Chordata; Actinopteri; Salmoniformes; Salmonidae
Exons: 5
Source: RefSeq, a predicted model, not a curated record